Transfer RNA from Felis catus (domestic cat), 85 nucleotides. It matches the Rfam family "tRNA". From Rfam's summary of the family: Transfer RNA (tRNA) molecules are approximately 80 nucleotides in length. The record is from Rfam. NCBI's taxonomy places the organism in Eukaryota, Metazoa, Chordata, Mammalia, Carnivora, Felidae.
GCCUGGGUGGCUCAGUCGGUUGAGCGUCCGACUUUGGCUCAGGUCAUGAUCUCGCGGUUGGUGGGUUCGAGCCCCGCAUCGGGCU